Molecule: ribosomal RNA, 468 nt
Filed under: uncultured bacterium
Lineage: Bacteria
Description: partial 16S ribosomal RNA
Rfam family: Bacterial small subunit ribosomal RNA
Source: RNAcentral
GACGAACGCUGGCGGCGUGCUUAACACAUGCAAGUCGAACGGAAAGGCCCUGCUUUUGUGGGGUGCUCGAGUGGCGAACGGGUGAGUAACACGUGAGUAACCUGCCCUUGACUUUGGGAUAACUUCAGGAAACUGGGGCUAAUACCGGAUAGGAGCUCCUGCUGCAUGGUGGGGGUUGGAAAGUUUCGGCGGUGGGGGAUGGACUCGCGGCUUAUCAGCUUGUUGGUGGGGUAGUGGCUUACCAAGGCUUUGACGGGUAGCCGGCCUGAGAGGGUGACCGGCCACAUUGGGACUGAGAUACGGCCCAGACUCCUACGGGAGGCAGCAGUGGGGAAUAUUGCACAAUGGGCGGAAGCCUGAUGCAGCAACGCCGCGUGCGGGAUGACGGCCUUCGGGUUGUAAACCGCUUUCGCCUGUGACGAAGCGUGAGUGACGGUAAUGGGUAAAGAAGCACCGGCUAACUACGUG